Molecule: ribosomal RNA, 468 nt
Filed under: uncultured bacterium
Lineage: Bacteria
Description: partial 16S ribosomal RNA
Rfam family: Bacterial small subunit ribosomal RNA
Source: RNAcentral
GAUGAACGCUGGCGGCGUGCUUAACACAUGCAAGUCGAACGGAAAGGCCCUGCUUUUGUGGGGUUCUCGAGUGGCGAACGGGUGAGUAACACGUGUGUAACCUGCCCUUGUCUUUGGGAUAACUUCAGGAAACUGGGGCUAAUACCGGAUAGGAGCUCCUGCUGCAUGGUGGGGGUUGGAAAGUUUCGGCUGUUGGGGAUGGACGCGCGGCUUAUCAGCUUGUUGGUGGGGUAGUGGCUUACCCAGGCUUUGACGGGUAGCCGGCCUGAGAGGGUGAACGGCGACAAUGGGACUAAGGGAGGGACCAGACUCGAAUGGUAGGCAGCGGUCGGGAAUAUGGCACAGUGGGCGGGAGCGUGAGGCGGCAGCGUCGGGUGAGUAAUGACGGCCUUCGGGGUGUGAACCGCUUUCGCCUGUGACGAAGCGGGAGUGACGGUAAUGAAUAAAGAAGCACCGGCUAACUACGUG